This 407-nucleotide ribosomal RNA is filed under the name uncultured Synergistaceae bacterium. RNAcentral's name for it is "bacterial SSU rRNA". It matches the Rfam family "Bacterial small subunit ribosomal RNA", at positions 94 to 530 of the family's 1533-position model. The record is from RNAcentral. Lineage: Bacteria; Thermotogati; Synergistota; Synergistia; Synergistales; Synergistaceae.
UAUUGCGAACGGGUGAGGAAAACGUAGUAACCAACCCUUUAGACUGGGAUAGCCACUGGAAACGGUGGGUAAUACCGGAUAAGCUCGAGAGAGGAAAGGCAGAGAAGCGCUAAAGGACGGAACUGCGCCCCAUCAGAUAGUUGGUGAGGUAAAGGCUUACCAAGUCAAAGACGGGAAACCGACGUGAGAGCGUGUACGGUCACAAGGGCACUGAGAGACGGGCCCUACUCCUACGGGAGGCAGCAGUGGGGAAUAUUGGGCAAUGGGCGGAAGCCUGACCCAGCGACGCCGCGUGGGGGAAGAAGUCUUUCGGGAUGUAAACCCUUGUUGUACGGGACGAAGGAAGUGACGGUACCGUACGAGGAAGCCCCGGCAAACUACGUGCCAGCAGCCGCGGUAAUGCGUAG